Molecule: small RNA, 950 nt
Filed under: Pongo abelii (Sumatran orangutan)
Lineage: Eukaryota; Metazoa; Chordata; Mammalia; Primates; Hominidae
Description: retained intron
Source: RNAcentral
AGGAGAGCGAGUUGCUGGUGGUGAAGAUGGAUGGGCGCAAACACCGUCUGAUCCUGCCUGAGGCCAAAGUCCAGGACAGUGGCGAGUUUGAGUGCAGGACAGAAGGGGUCUCGGCCUUCUUUGGCGUCACUGUCCAAGAUCCUCCCGUGCACAUCGUGGACCCCCGAGAACAUGUGUUCGUGCAUGCCAUAACUUCCGAGUGUGUCAUGCUGGCCUGUGAGGUGGACCGAGAGGACGCCCCUGUGCGUUGGUACAAGGAUGGGCAGGAGGUGGAGGAGAGUGACUUCGUGGUGCUGGAGAAUGAGGGGCCCCAUCGCCGCCUGGUGCUGCCCGCCACCCAGCCCUCAGACGGGGGCGAGUUUCAGUGCGUCGCUGGAGAUGAGCGUGCCUACUUCACCGUUACCAUCACAGGUGGGGGGCCAGGUGGGCCUCGGAGGCACAGGGGAAGGUGCCCCUGCUCCCGCUGGGGCAGCUGCCACACCUUCACUCCUGGGCCACUGUUCCCCGCCCCUGCUGCCCUCCCCUGGCAGAUUGGACCUCCUCCCUUUCUCCUCAAGCUAUGGUCUAGUCACACUCAGGAAACGUGUUAUCAUAAGCACAUUGGUCUUGGCUAAGGAAGCCCGGCUUUCUCUAUUCUCCUGAAAACCUGUACCAAGGGAAAUCUCUGGGGACAGUGAGUCUGUUGCAGGGUAGGGCAGAGUCUAGGGCCGGUGGUCUCAGGCACUAGAGGGGCAAAAAAAUCUUGGAGGAGGAGACCCCCAGCUUCUCCUCCCAACCCUCCUCUCCUCAGUUCCACCCUUCUUACCAUCCCUGUCCCAACCCAGAGAAUGUGGAGCGUUUCUACAGCCGAGGCUGACCCCGUGGUCCCCUCUGUGCAGCUCCUAUGCAGCACAAAGUCUGCUGUGCUUUUGUGACAGCUGUAUUCGUGUGUCUCUGGCUGUGGGUAACUG